GGUUGCGAUCAUACCAGCACUAAUGCACCGGAUCCCAUCAGAACUCCGCAGUUAAGCGUGCUUCGGCGAGAGUAGUACUAGGAUGGGUGACCCCCCGGGUAGUCCUCGUGUUGCAACCC
This 119-nucleotide ribosomal RNA is filed under the name Helianthus annuus (common sunflower). The record is from RNAcentral. Lineage: Eukaryota; Viridiplantae; Streptophyta; Magnoliopsida; Asterales; Asteraceae.